Molecule: ribosomal RNA, 504 nt
Filed under: uncultured bacterium
Lineage: Bacteria
Description: partial 16S ribosomal RNA
Rfam family: Bacterial small subunit ribosomal RNA
Source: RNAcentral
GACGAACGCUGGCGGCGUGCCUAAUACAUGCAAGUAGAACGCACAGUUUAUACCGUAGCUUGCUACACCAUAGACUGUGAGUUGCGAACGGGUGAGUAACGCGUAGGUAACCUGCCUGGUAGCGGGGGAUAACUAUUGGAAACGAUAGCUAAUACCGCAUAAUAUUAAUUAUUGCAUGAUAAUUAAUUGAAAGGUGCAAUUGCACCACUACCAGAUGGACCUGCGUUGUAUUAGCUAGUAGGUGAGGUAACGGCUCACCUAGGCGACGAUACAUAGCCGACCUGAGAGGGUGAUCGGCCACACUGGGACUGAGACACGGCCCAGACUCCUACGGGAGGCAGCAGUAGGGAAUCUUCGGCAAUGGACGAAAGUCUGACCGAGCAACGCCGCGUGAGUGAAGAAGGUUUUCGGAUCGCAAAGCUCUGUUGUAAGAGAAGAACGGGUGUGAGAGUGGAAAGUUCACACUGUGACGGUAUCUUACCAGAAAGGGACGGCUAACUACGU